UAGCUUAGGGGUAGAGCGCUUGCCUCGCAUGCAUGAAGCCCUGGGUUCAAUCUCCAG
Molecule: transfer RNA, 57 nt
Filed under: Ictidomys tridecemlineatus (thirteen-lined ground squirrel)
Lineage: Eukaryota; Metazoa; Chordata; Mammalia; Rodentia; Sciuridae
Description: Spermophilus tridecemlineatus (thirteen-lined ground squirrel) tRNA
Rfam family: tRNA
About the family: Transfer RNA (tRNA) molecules are approximately 80 nucleotides in length. Their secondary structure includes four short double-helical elements and three loops (D, anti-codon, and T loops). Further hydrogen bonds mediate the characteristic L-shaped molecular structure. tRNAs have two regions of fundamental functional importance: the anti-codon, which is responsible for specific mRNA codon recognition, and the 3' end, to which the tRNAs corresponding amino acid is attached (by aminoacyl-tRNA synthetases). tRNAs cope with the degeneracy of the genetic code in two manners: having more than one tRNA (with a specific anti-codon) for a particular amino acid; and 'wobble' base-pairing, i.e. permitting non-standard base-pairing at the 3rd anti-codon position.
Source: Rfam by way of RNAcentral